AAUUGCCAUUGAUACUGUUAUUCUGAGUAUAGUUGAAGUGGGCCGGAAUUGUGUAAUGUAGCGGUGAAAUGCUUAGAUAUUACACAGAACACCAAUUGCGAAGGCCAGCUCACUAAGCUGUUACUGACGCUGAGGCACGAAAGCGUGGGAGCAAACAGGAUUAGAUACCCUGGUAGUCACGCCGUAAACCGAUGAUCACUCGUUGUGGCGAUACACCGUCAGCGACUGAGCGAAAGCAAUAAGUGAUCCACUGGGGAGUACGGUCGCAAGACUGAAACUCAAAGGAAUUGACGGGGGCCCGCACAAGCGGAGGAACAUGUGGUUUAAUUCGAUGAUACGCGAGGAACCUUACCUGGGCUUGAAAGGGGAUCGACCUCCCGGGAAACCGGGAUUCUCUUCGGAGCGGUCUCCUAGGUGCUGCAUGGUUGUCGUCAGCUCGUGCCGUGAGGUGUCGGGUUAAGUCCCAUAACGAGCGCAACCCCUAUUGAUAGUUGCCAGCGGGUAAUGCCGGGAACUCUAUCGAAACUGCCGGUGUAAACCGUGAGGAAGGUGGGGAUGACGUCAAAUCAGCACGGCCCUUAUGUCCAGGGCUACACACGUGUUACAAUGGCCGGUACAAAGGGCAGCUAUGCCGCGAGGCAAUGCUAAUCUCGAAAACCGGUCUCAGUUCGGAUCGAAGUCUGCAACUCGA
This 691-nucleotide ribosomal RNA is filed under the name uncultured bacterium. RNAcentral's name for it is "bacterial SSU rRNA". It matches the Rfam family "Bacterial small subunit ribosomal RNA", at positions 619 to 1315 of the family's 1533-position model. The record is from RNAcentral.